GUGGAUUAUAUACCCUGGUAGUCCACGCCGUAAACUAUGGGUGCUAGCCGUCGGAUAGCUUGCUAUUCGGUGGCGCAGCUAACGCAUUAAGCACCCCGCCUGGGGAGUACGGCCGCAAGGUUAAAACUCAAAGGAAUUGACGGGGGCCCGCACAAGCGGUGGAGCAUGUGGUUUAAUUCGACGCAACGCGAAGAACCUUACCAGCUCUUGACAUUUCCUGACUGGUUCCAGAGAUGGGAUCGUCCUAGCAAUAGGCAGGAGGACAGGUGCUGCACGGCCGUCGUCAGCU
Molecule: ribosomal RNA, 289 nt
Filed under: uncultured bacterium
Lineage: Bacteria
Description: partial 16S ribosomal RNA
Rfam family: Bacterial small subunit ribosomal RNA
Source: RNAcentral